UACGGAGGGUGCAAGCGUUAUCCGGAUUCACUGGGUUUAAAGGGUGUGUAGGCGGAUAUUUAAGUCAGUGGUGAAAUCUCCGGGCUCAACCCGGAAACUGCCAUUGAUACUAUUUAUCUUGAAUUCUGUUGAGGUGGACGGAAUACAUCAUGUAGCGAUAAAAUACUUAAAUAUGAUGUAGAACACCGAUUGCAAAAACAACUCACUAAACAGCAAUUAACGCUGAGGCACGAAAGCGUGGGGAUCAAACAGG
RNAcentral lists this ribosomal RNA (253 nucleotides) under uncultured bacterium. RNAcentral describes it as "partial 16S ribosomal RNA". It matches the Rfam family "Bacterial small subunit ribosomal RNA", at positions 524 to 776 of the family's 1533-position model. The record is from RNAcentral.